Small nuclear RNA from Myotis myotis, 187 nucleotides. RefSeq annotates it as U2 spliceosomal RNA. The record is from RefSeq and is a predicted model, not a curated record. The transcript has a single exon. Lineage: Eukaryota; Metazoa; Chordata; Mammalia; Chiroptera; Vespertilionidae.
AUUGCUUCUCGGCCUUUUGGCUAAGAUCAAGUGUGUUUUCUGGGCAUUCUCAAUAUUUACACAAGUAUUUAUUCAUUUCCUUCAGGAUCUUUACGGCUGGCUGGCCAAAUUUGGGUUUUUCUACAAUAAAAUUAAGUAUGUCCUGAAGAUCAUUUUCAUUAAAAUAUUUAAAGAAAAAUACUCCUAU